Molecule: long non-coding RNA, 2978 nt
Organism: Oncorhynchus tshawytscha (Chinook salmon)
Lineage: Eukaryota; Metazoa; Chordata; Actinopteri; Salmoniformes; Salmonidae
Source: Ensembl
UUGGAAGUGUACAUUUCUCAGUUAUUAGUUUCUUCCUGAAUGUUGUGUAAAAUAUAUGAUUGAUUAUGAAACUAUUUGUGGGAAGAUGUAAUGUUAUGUUGGCCUUCUAAACCAGAUACUUGUUUAGUGUCACGAACCGACUCAAAGCCCGUAACAAAAGGGAGACAACGUGGAGAUAAGGAGUAACAAAAUAUAUAUUUAUUAAAUAAGUAACUAAGUAGAUUAUACAAUGGUGUGUGUAAUCAGUAGUGUAAGUGAGUGUUUUGCAUGCAUGAAUGUGAUAAUGCAGGGUGUUGAAAGGUGCCAAAGCAAACAACCUAAAGGCCACCAAGAAACACAACAAAAUCUAGAAAUGUGUCUGCAUGGAGAGAGUCUCCUCCAUGAAUGGGGAAGUGGUGUAUUUAUCCUGGGAGACACCGGGCCCAGGUGUGUCUGCAUGGAGAGAGUCUCCUCCAUGAAUGGGGAAGUGGUGUAUUUAUCCUGGGAGAUACCGGGCCCAGGUGUGUCUGCAUGGAGAGAGUCUCCUCCAUGAAUGGGGAAGUGGUGUAUUUAUCCUGGGACACACCUGACCCAGGUGUUCCCCAUGUAGCUGACGACCCUCCCAACUCCGCCCACCGGCAUCCUAAUAACCCUCCCAACUCCGCCCACCGGCAUCCUAAUAAGGAAAACAAGAGGAAAGAGAGAAUACGGCAGACAGAGUGGGAGGGGCGUCACAUUAGUUAUAUUAGUUAUAAUGUUUUAACUAGUUAGUGGCUGUCACGCCCUGACCUUAGAGAGCUUUUUGCGUCUCUAUUUUGGUUUGGUCAGGUUGUGAUUUGGGAUGGGCAUUCUAUGUUAUUUUUUCUAUGUUUUUGUAUUUCUUUGUUUUUGGCCGGGUAGGGUUCUCAAUCAGGGACAGCUGUCUAUCGUUGUCUCUGAUUGGGAACCAUACCUAGGUAGCUUUUUCCCACAUGGUUUUUGUGGGUAGUUAUUUUCUGUUUAGUGUUUUCUGCACCUGACAGGACCGUUUCGGUUAUUCAUUUAGUUAUUUUUGUUUAGUGUUCAGUUUAAAUAAAAAGUCAUGAACACUUACAACGCUGCGCUUUGGUGUGAUUCCUCUUCUUCAGACGACGACUAGUAGGGUGGUUGAAUUAGUAGGGAUGAAUAGUGUCUCGUAGGGUGGUUGAAUUAGUAGGGAUGAAUAGUGUCUAGUAGGGUGAUUGAAUUAGUAGUGAUUAAUAGUGUCUCGUAGGGUGGUUGAAUUAGUAGGGAUGAAUAGUGUCUCGUAGGGUGGUUGAAUUAGUAGGGAUGAAUAGUGUCUCGUAGGGUGGGUGAAUUAGUAGGGAUGAAUAGUGUCUAGUAGGGUGGUUGAAUUAGUAGGGAUGAAUAGUGUCUCGUAGGGUGGUUGAAUUAGUAGUGAUGAAUAGGGCUGGUGUCUCUUAGGGUGGUUGAAUUAGUAGGGAUGAAUAGUGUCUAGUAGGGUGGUUGAAUUAGUAGGGAUGAAUAGUGUCUCGUAGGGUGGUUGAAUUAGUAGGGAUGAAUAGUGUCUCGUAGGGUGGUUGAAUUAGUAGGGAUGAAUAGUGUCUCGUAGGGUGGUUGAAUUAGUAGGGAUGAAUAGUGUCUCGUAGGGUGGUUGAAUUAGUAGGGAUGAAUAGUGUCUAGUAGGGUGGUUGAAUUAGUAGGGAUGAAUAGGGCUGGUGUCUCGUAGGGUGUUUGAAUUAGGAGUGAUGAAUAGGGCUGGUGUCUCAUAGGAAAGAAAAUACAGGUUUUCUCCAACGGCCCUUAAAUUGACUGGUAUUUAAUACCAUCCUUUGUAAUGAUAACUGUUGCUGUUCAACGACUAUUGAUGAAACAGAUGAAUACAUGUUUACUAUCCUUUGAAGACUCGUAAGUGUCUCCAUGUGUAUAUUGUCAUACACAUCUGGUACGCCCACUCAAUCAGGAAAAAACUAGACGGUUCUCUCUCCUACCGCACGGCAAGCGGUACCGGAACGCCAAGUCCAGGUCCAAAAGGCUCCUCAACAGCUUCUACCCCCCAAGCCAGAAGACUGCUGAACAAUUAAUCAAAUGGCCACUGGGAAUAUUUACAUUGACCCCCUCUCUUUGUUUUAACACUGCUGCUACUCACUGUUUAUUACCUAUGCAUAGCCACUUUACCCCGACCUACAUGUACAAAAUACCUCAACUAUCCUGUACCCCUGCACAUUGACUCAGUACGGUAUAUUGCCUCAUUAUUGUUAUUUUAUUGUAUAACUUUUAAAUUAUUUUUUACCUUAGUUUAUUUAGUAAAUAUUUUCUUAACUCUACUUUCUUUUAAAACUGCAUUUUUAGUUAAGGGCUUGUAAGACAGUAUUUAACGAUAAGGUUGUUUUUGGCGCAUGUGAUAAAUAACAUGUCAUUUCAUUUGAAAAGAUAAAGGUAUUCUGUCCCGAAGUUUGUUACUGUGAACGAAAAAUUACAUUCGGACUUCUCCACUUAGGAACUGUGUGUGACUGAACCUUCCCAAAUAGUGCUCCUGCUGUACGGUUUCCACUAGAUAACACAGCAACAAAGUUGUAUAUUAUAUUGUAUUGUAACAAUCUAUGAAAACAAGUUAGCGUUAGGCAACAGGUUAGCGGUGUGAUUAAGGUUAGGUUUGAGGUUAGGGUUAAGGUUAGGUUUAUAAUGAGAUUUUAUUAUUAUUUAGAGACGUUUUAGCCAUUAUUAUGACUUUGUGGCUGUGUUAACUAGUGACCACACUGCUAUACAGCAUGGGACGAUGUGUGACAGUUGGGACACAACAGACAGACAGACAGACAGACAGACAGACAGACAGACAGACAGACAGACAGACAGACAGACAGGCGGAGAGACAGGCAGACAGACAGGCAGACAGACAGACAGACACACACAGACAGACAGACAGGCGGAGAGACAGACAGGCAGACAGGCAGGCAGACAGACAGGCAGACAGACAGACAGACACACACACACAGACAGACAGACAGACAGACAGACAG